GUGUGUGUGUGUGUGUGUGUGAUAUAUGAGUUAACAUGCUUAGUCAAAAUUGUCAUGAUUUUGACUAAGAGUGUGUCAUGUCUCUGUCUUUGUCUCAUGUGUGUGCGUGUAUGUUAAUUAGUUUCUAUAAAAAUAAAAAGUCUAAGGGUUUGCAGUAUGUGAGUUGGGUGCUAUAGUGUACUAUGAUAGUGUGUGUGUGUGUGUGUG
This 207-nucleotide unclassified non-coding RNA is filed under the name Hevea brasiliensis (rubber tree). Lineage: Eukaryota; Viridiplantae; Streptophyta; Magnoliopsida; Malpighiales; Euphorbiaceae. The record is from RNAcentral.